This 406-nucleotide ribosomal RNA is filed under the name uncultured bacterium. Its description in RNAcentral is "partial 16S ribosomal RNA". It matches the Rfam family "Bacterial small subunit ribosomal RNA", at positions 30 to 526 of the family's 1533-position model. The record is from RNAcentral.
AUUGAACGCUGGCGGCAGGCCUAACACAUGCAAGUCGAACGAGUGGCGGACGGGUGAGUAACGUCUGGGAAACUUCCCGAUGGAGGGGGAUAACCAGUGGAAACGGUAGCUAAUACCGCAUACUAUCGGAUGUGCCCAGAUGGGAUUAUCUGGUUGGUGGGGUAAAGGCUCACCGAGGCGACGACCCCUAGCUGGUCUGAGAGGAUGACCACCCAAACUGGAACUGAGACACGGUCCAGACUCCUACGGGAGGCAGCAGUGGGGAAUAUUGCACAAUGGGGGCAAGCCUAAUGCAGCAAUGCCGCGUGUAUGAAGAAGGCCUUCGGGUUGUAAAGUACUUUCAGCGGGGAGGCGUUACCCGCAGAAGAAGCACCGGCUAACUCCGUGCCAGCAGCCGCGGUAAUAC